GAGCCAGUGGCCCAACGGCAAGGUCAGCUCGACGUGGUACGCGACUGUGGCGGAUAAGGCGGAGGAUAUGCGCGAGGCGGGCUUCACCGA
This 90-nucleotide non-coding RNA is filed under the name Tetraselmis chui. The record is from RNAcentral. Lineage: Eukaryota; Viridiplantae; Chlorophyta; Chlorodendrophyceae; Chlorodendrales; Chlorodendraceae.